Molecule: ribosomal RNA, 1337 nt
Filed under: metagenome
Description: bacterial LSU rRNA
Rfam family: Bacterial large subunit ribosomal RNA
Source: RNAcentral
UGAGUACGAGCUGCUACGGCAGCGAAGUGGGUGAUGUCAAGCUUCCAAGAAAAGCCCUAUACCCGUUAAGGCAUGACGGCCUGUACCCGAAACCGACACAGGUGGGGUGGUAGAGAAUACCGAGGGGCGCGAGAUAACUCUCUCUAAGGAACUCGGCAAAAUGGCCCCGUAACUUCGGGAGAAGGGGUGCCACCGCAAGGUGGUCGCAGUGAAGAGGCCUAGGCGACUGUUUACCAAAAACACAGGUCUCCGCUAAGUCGCAAGACGAUGUAUGGGGGCUGACGCCUGCCCAGUGCCGGAAGGUUAAGGAAGCUGGUCAGCGCAAGCGAAGCUAGCGACUGAAGCCCCGGUGAACGGCGGCCGUAACUAUAAGGGUCCUAAGGUAGCGAAAUUCCUUGUCGGGUGAGUUCCGACCCGCACGAAAGGCGUAACGAUCUGGGCGCUGUCUCGGAGAGAGGCUCGGCGAAAUAGAAUUGUCUGUGAAGAUGCGGACUACGUGCACCCGGACAGAAAGACCCUAUGAAGCUUUACUGUAGCUUGGUAUUGCGCCCGGGCUCUGAAUGCGCAGGAUAGGUGGGAGGCUUUGAUCCAUUGCUUGUGGGUGAUGGUGAGCCACUGGUGAGAUACCACUCUUUCAGAGCUAGGGUUCUAACGGUCACCCGUUAUCCGGGGACCGGACAGUAUCAGGUGGGCAGUUUGACUGGGGCGGUCGCCUCCUAAAAGGUAACGGAGGCGCGCAAAGGUUCCCUCAGGCUGGUUGGAAAUCAGCCGACGAGUGUAAAGGCAGAAGGGAGCUUGACUGUGAGACCUACAAGUCGAACAGGGACGAAAGUCGGCCUUAGUGAUCCGACGGUUCUGAGUGGAAGGGCCGUCGCUCAACGGAUAAAAGUUACUCUAGGAUAACAGGCUGAUCUCCCCCAAGAGUUCACAUCGACGGGGAGGUUUGGCACCUCGAUGUCGGCUCAUCGCAACCUGGGGCUGAAGUCGGUCCCAAGGGUUGGGCUGUUCGCCCAUUAAAGCGGUACGCGAGCUGGGUCCAGAACGUCGUGAGACAGUUCGGUCCAUAUCCGGUGCACGCGCAGGAACAUUGAGAGGAUUUCUCCCUAGUACGAGAGGACCGGGAGGAACGCACCUCUGGUGUACCAGUUAUCGUGCCAACGGUAAACGCUGGGUAGCCAUGUGCGGAGCGGAUAACCGCUGAAAGCAUCUAAGUGGGAAGCCCACCUCAAGAUGAGUGUUCCCAUGGCAUAAGCCAGUAAGGUCACGGGAAGAACACCCGUUGAUAGGCUCUACGUGGAAGCGUGGCAACACGUGAAGCGGAGGAGUACUAAUAGACC